Molecule: ribosomal RNA, 443 nt
Filed under: uncultured bacterium
Lineage: Bacteria
Description: partial 16S ribosomal RNA
Rfam family: Bacterial small subunit ribosomal RNA
Source: RNAcentral
CCUACGGGAGGCAGCAGUGGGGAAUAUUGGGCAAUGGGCGCAAGCCUGACCCAGCAACGCCGCGUGAGGGAAGAAGGCUUUCGGGUUGUAAACUUCUUUUCUGAGGGACGAAGAGACUGACGGUAACUCAGGAAUAAGAUGACGCUACCUACGUACCAGCAGCCGCGGUAAUACGUAGGGGGCAAGCGUUAGACGGAUUUAGUGGGUGUAUAGGGCGUGUAGGCGGGACAGCAAGUACGAUGUGAAGACUCAGGGCUCAACCCGGGAAAUGCAUUUGAUACUGUUAUACUUGAGUGCGGGAGAGGCAAGCGGAAUUCCAGGUGUAGCAGUGAAAUGCGUAGAUAUACGGAGGAACACCAGUGGCGAAGGCGGAGUGCUGGACAGUAACUGACGCUGAGGCGCGAAAGCGUGGGGAGCAAACAGGAUUAGAUACCCUUGUAGUC